Molecule: transfer RNA, 81 nt
Organism: Rhizoctonia solani
Lineage: Eukaryota; Fungi; Basidiomycota; Agaricomycetes; Cantharellales; Ceratobasidiaceae
Rfam family: tRNA
About the family: Transfer RNA (tRNA) molecules are approximately 80 nucleotides in length. Their secondary structure includes four short double-helical elements and three loops (D, anti-codon, and T loops).
Source: Rfam
GGCCGCCUGGCGAAAUGGUAUCGCGUCUGACUACGAUUCGUAAUUAUCAGGAGAUUGCAGGUUCGAGCCCUGCGGUGGUCA